UUGCACGCUGACGGCAGGCCUAACACAUGCAAGUCGAGCGGAUGAAGGGAGCUUGCUCCUGGAUUCAGCGGCGGACGGGUGAGUAAUGCCUAGGAAUCUGCCUGGUAGUGGGGGAUAACGUCCGGAAACGGGCGCUAAUACCGCAUACGUCCUGAGGGAGAAAGUGGGGGAUCUUCGGACCUCACGCUAUCAGAUGAGCCUAGGUCGGAUUGGCUAGUUGGUGGGGUAAAGGCCUACCAAGGCGACGAUCCGUAACUGGUCUGAGAGGAUGAUCAGUCACACUGGAACUGAGACACGGUCCAGACUCCUACGGGAGGCAGCAGUGGGGAAUAUUGGACAAUGGGCGAAAGCCUGAUCCAGCCAUGCCGCGUGUGUGAAGAAGGUCUUCGGAUUGUAAAGCACUUUAAGUUGGGAGGAAGGGCAGUAAGUUAAUACCUUGCUGUUUUGACGUUACCAACAGAAUAAGCACCGGCUAACUUCGUG
This 483-nucleotide ribosomal RNA is filed under the name uncultured bacterium. Its description in RNAcentral is "partial 16S ribosomal RNA". It matches the Rfam family "Bacterial small subunit ribosomal RNA", at positions 30 to 507 of the family's 1533-position model. The record is from RNAcentral.